UCGAGAAUCAUUCACAAUGGGCGAAAGCCUGAUGGUGCGACGCCGCGUGGAGGAUGAAGGCCCUCGGGUUGUAAACUCCUGUCAUCAGGGAGUAAAGCUCAGGCGUUAAUAGCGCCUCGGGCCUGAUAGUACCUGAAGAGGAAGGGGCGGCAAACUCCGUGCCAGCAGCCGCGGUAACACGGAGGCCCCGAGCGUUGUUCGGAUUUACUGGGCGUAAAGCGUGCGUAGGCGGCUGGGUAAGUCAGAUGUGAAAGCCCGGGGCUCAACCCCGGAACUGCAUCCGAUACUGCCCGGCUCGAGGAUUGGAGAGGAGACUGGAAUUCACGGUGUAGCAGUGAAAUGCGUGGAUAUCGUGAGGAAGACCAAUGGCGAAGGCAGGUCUCUGGACAAUACCUGACGC
RNAcentral lists this ribosomal RNA (400 nucleotides) under uncultured bacterium. RNAcentral describes it as "bacterial SSU rRNA". It matches the Rfam family "Bacterial small subunit ribosomal RNA", at positions 355 to 746 of the family's 1533-position model. The record is from RNAcentral.